Non-coding RNA from Punica granatum (pomegranate), 2026 nucleotides. Lineage: Eukaryota; Viridiplantae; Streptophyta; Magnoliopsida; Myrtales; Lythraceae. The record is from RefSeq and is a predicted model, not a curated record.
AAUUAGCGGCUGAAGCCUCGUUCAAAGCCUGCUUCCCCCCCUUCUUCUUCGCCCCCUUCCUUGGGAACCAAUUCCCUGCGAACUGCCCAGAGUUUCAGAUCUUUUUUCCUCGUUAAAUCUCUUCCCCAACUAAAUCUUGUUCGAUACGCGGAAUCACCUCACCUUCUUGCUCCAUCCUUUGUUCGAUCUGCAGAAUCACCUCACCUUCUCCUCCAUCCCCAUCUGUUUAUCAAGACAGUAUACGACGAUCCCGCUCAUUCGCUUGCAUUUCUCUGUCCAAAUGAAGAAUUGAGUUCUCUCGUUAUUUGACUGUACUGCUUUUCUUCUUCCUCUUUUUUCCCUCUUCCUUCGUCUUGCAUCAGCUUUCAUGGUAGAAGAAGCUCCCAAUGAUGCAAAGGAUGAGGUUACAGAAGCGAGUUUAUCUAUUCUCGACAAUGUCAUGGCAAUUUUUCCCGAUUGAGAUGAAAGCAUGGAAUUUGCUGAGUCUGUCAUUGAGCUGAACGGUUAUAUUCGUCUCUGGUCUGUUCGUAUUUCGUAUUGUAAAUGAUGUUGAGGUUCCAAAAGUACGCCCUGAGGCUCAACUCCACUACUUCUGGAAUUAAUCAAUUUCAUUGGGCCUCAUCUCAUCCAAUCAACCACUUUAUGCGUGAUGGCUUUAAAAUUGGAUUUUCUCUGGCUUUGUCAAAGGAAAGGAAAGGACAGGCCUUUACGAUGCACUUUCUCGGGAAUACAUUUCAUCGACUUGCCUUCAGUUGUUCUGUAGUUUCACUGCCUGAAAUUGCAGCUUGCCCCAUUUGAUCCUACUUACAAGAAGAAGAAGAAGAAGAAGAAGAAGAAGAAGAAGAAAGUCGUCGUUCUGGAUCUUGCAGACGACUCUGCGGACAAAUUGGCUGAUAAAACUGAGAAUUUGUCUGGUUCCUUGGAUGCGUGAACACACGCUUUUGGGCAAUUGGUUCCGAUCUUAAUCAACCAAAGAGUUAUUCGGAGUUUCAGUAUAGGUUCGGAGAGCUAAUCUGUUUCCCUUACUCUGCAGUUUCUGAUGGAACAGAUAAUACCUUCACUGGUUUAAAGAAGAAGAAGAAGAAGAAGAAGAAGAAGAAGAAACCCGCAGAGAGCAGCGCGUUGAAUGGUGAGAACGAACUUCUUACGGGUGGUUUGGAAGGUGACGAUGAAGAAAGAGAUGGAAUUCCUCCACAGCGCCGUUCCAGUUGGGAAGGGAGUGAUCGCAAUUACCAUUAUGAGGAGGGUGUUUAACAUCCUUCGUGAGAACAACCUGGAGCUCGCAGGAGAUAGGCGCCGCACAGUUAUGAGGCCUCUGCAGGUUCUUCGGGAGGGUACGAAGAAAACUGUUUUCGUAAACUUCAUGGAUCUCUGCAAGUCGAUGCAUCGCCAGCCCGACCGUGUUAUGGCCUUCUUGCUGGCAGGAUCACUGGAUGGGCAACAGAGAUUAGUUGUCAAAGGGAGAUUCGCUCCGAAAAAUUUUGAAGGGAUUCUGCGACGAUACAUUAGUACGUAAACUUUCCGCAUUAUUAGCAUUCUCUCCCGGGGAAAAUCGUCUCUUUUUUCUCAGAUGCGAGAAGUGCGGUUCUGGGAGAUCCGUUCUUCCAAUUAAAGCUGGUUUUCUUGCUCGUGUUGGACGUAGAAAUGCCGGGACAUGAAAUUCCAGCAAACUACCAUCGGUUAGUUCCGGCUUGCAGUUGGUGACGACGCCGCAUUUCCUGAAGGAAGGAGAUCUUCUGAACGUUGACAAGUUCUUGCAGUAAAUAUUAACGCUUCACGGCGGGAUAGUACUACAAAAUUUGGACUGCAAUUAUCUCAAGGAGAUUGUCAGAUGCAUAUAACAUCGAACAUCGAUUUUGCCAAUCCUGGAAUUCGACCAUAUGCAGAUCAAAAGACAGGAGCGUAACAAUUAGAAGCUUGGUUCGGAUGCUGUCCCAUUUCUGGUCAUCUCUUAUGUUAUAAUUACGUAUAUUGGACCAAAAGAAUCUCUACAUCAUACUAAUCUUUAAACAUUAAAUCUGUUCUA